This 242-nucleotide ribosomal RNA is filed under the name uncultured bacterium. RNAcentral's name for it is "partial 16S ribosomal RNA". It matches the Rfam family "Archaeal small subunit ribosomal RNA", at positions 485 to 727 of the family's 1478-position model. The record is from RNAcentral.
CGAGUGGUCGGGACGUUUAUUGGGCCUAAAGCAUCCGUAGCCGGUUCUACAAGUCUUCCGUUAAAUCCACCUGCUUAACAGAUGGGCUGCGGAAGAUACUAUAGAGCUAGGAGGCGGGAGAGGCAAGCGGUACUCGAUGGGUAGGGGUAAAAUCCGUUGAUCCAUUGAAGACCACCAGUGGCGAAGGCGGCUUGCCAGAACGCGCUCGACGGUGAGGGAUGAAAGCUGGGGGAGCAAACCGG